UAAGCUUUUGGUAUGUUGAACGUUAUUAACGUAUUUAAAGUUCUUUAAUUUGUAGUUGUAUUUAAACUAGCUCGCAAUGGAGGGAAUAAAAUUUAUUGCAAAAGAAAAAAAAAAAACUGUUUCGCUUUAGUUAAGAUGGCUCUUUACUUUGCCUAGACGGAAUAGAUUGAGCACUCGAUCGAUAGCAAAACUGCAAGAAGCUUAAUCAAAUUCAAGAUGACGUUUGAAAAUAUACAAAGAAAAGAAGAAGAAAAAUAAACAUUGUGUAACUUAAUUAUGCCCCUGCCGACUUUUACAGACCCCACAAACAAAACACUUAAGCGGUGCUUCACGAUAGAUUGGGUGCUACCCAAACAUUUGGUUUCUUAUUCCUAUUUAGCAUACCUUUGGCACCAAGCACUCUAUUAGCUCCCUUCCUUUUUCCUUUUUGUCAAUAAGUAGUUCCCUUCCAGUUCCACCCUGUUUGGUAGGAUGGAAAGAUAUCAAAUAGAUAAAAAUAAAAUUAACGAGUAAAAGUAAGUGAGACAUAAAAAAAAUUGAUUGAAAAAAAAAAUAGAUAAAAAAUGACUAAAAGUAAAUAAUAUAAGUGGUUCUCACCAUUUAAAAACAUUUUUACUCUCAAUAUCUCCUCUAGGAAACAUAUCCUUGGUUUCAUACACUGCAGAAAAGACUUUUUUCUUUCCACACUUUAGUUUUCUUAGUUGAAUAUUGAGUGUGGUCCUGUGGGCUAACACUAGGGCCUAGCCUAAUAAGUUGUUCAGAAUUCAGAUGUUGCAAUCACCGGCCAUCUUGUACAAUUUUUUAAUUAUAAAAUAAUGUAUUACAGCAUGACGUGUGCCGCGUAAUAUUUAGCCAAGUGAUGUUUUUAUAGCUAUUUUUUUUUGGCCUCUUGUGGUUAGGAUGCAAAAUUGGUUAGUUGAAGGAUUCCAAUAAUGUGAAUCAGGCAGGAAUUAAAACAAAUGAAAAUAAUAAUAGUUUACUUGAGUUGUUGGAUAGAGAAGAAAGAGAACCAGAAAUCAAAGCUAUCUAUGCAUUCACCUUUGGAAAGCAAAUUUAAAAUUUGUCACUGAUGCAUGGCAUGGGAUGGCAUAUGUAGCCUUUACCCAUCAAAGAAAAUAAAAUAAGAUUAUACAAGUAUGUCAUGGACUCUCAUGGCUAUGCACACUUUCUUUCCAUCCUAAUACGCUUUUUUCAUAAAAGGAAACACUAUUGAAAAAA
RNAcentral lists this long non-coding RNA (1218 nucleotides) under Glycine max (soybean). RNAcentral describes it as "long non-coding RNA (GMAX_LNC002987)". Lineage: Eukaryota; Viridiplantae; Streptophyta; Magnoliopsida; Fabales; Fabaceae. The record is from RNAcentral.